GAAGCACCGGCUAACUCCGUGCCAGCAGCCGCGGUAAUACGGAGGGUGCGAGCGUUAAUCGGAAUUACUGGGCGUAAAGCGCAUGCAGGUGGUUUGUUAAGUCAGAUGUGAAAGCCCGGGGCUCAACCUCGGAAUUGCAUUUGAAACUGGCAGACUAGAGUACUGUAGAGGGGGGUAGAAUUUCAGGUGUAGCGGUGAAAUGCGUAGAGAUCUGAAGGAAUACCGGUGGCGAAGGCGGCCCCCUGGACAGAUACUGACACUCAGAUGCGAAAGCGUGGGGAGCAAACAGGAUUAGAUACCCUGGUAGUCCACGCCGUAAACGAUGUCUACUUGGAGGGUGUGGCCUUGAGCCGUGGCUUUCGGAGCUAACGCGUUAAGUAGACCGCCUGG
Molecule: ribosomal RNA, 390 nt
Filed under: Vibrio sp. 8Bf5S146
Lineage: Bacteria; Pseudomonadati; Pseudomonadota; Gammaproteobacteria; Vibrionales; Vibrionaceae
Description: bacterial SSU rRNA
Rfam family: Bacterial small subunit ribosomal RNA
Source: RNAcentral